This 212-nucleotide long non-coding RNA is filed under the name Lathyrus oleraceus (garden pea). RNAcentral's name for it is "Pisum sativum (pea) long non-coding RNA (PSAT_LNC002190)". Lineage: Eukaryota; Viridiplantae; Streptophyta; Magnoliopsida; Fabales; Fabaceae. The record is from RNAcentral.
GUUAAGAGUUGAAAAGAUCUGAUCGAUGGGUAGCAAUCCAAUAUGCAAUAAUGCCAUAUAGAAACCCCAAAUUCCCUUGGAUAUUAGAAUCAAGCAACAAACAGUGCAUACAAUAUUAACUUGAAGAGCAAGGCAUCAAAUAAAGAUUGCCACAUCUAAGCUUUAGCCACUCCACAAUCUUCUUCAAAUUGGCCUAUGUAGCAGAUGAAUUC